UGGGGAAUAUUGGACAAUGGGCGGAAGCCUGAUCCAGCCAUGCCGCGUGUGUGAAGAAGGCCUUUUGGUUGUAAAGCACUUUAAGCGAGGAGGAGGCUACUUGGAUUAAUACUCUAGGAUAGUGGACGUUACUCGCAGAAUAAGCACCGGCUAACUCUGUGCCAGCAGCCGCGGUAAUACAGAGGGUGCGAGCGUUAAUCGGAUUUACUGGGCGUAAAGCGUGCGUAGGCGGCUUUUUAAGUCGGAUGUGAAAUCCCUGAGCUUAACUUAGGGAUUGCAUUCGAUACUGGGAAGCUAGAGUAUGGGAGAGGAUGGUAGAAUUCCAGGUGUAGCGGUGGAAAGCGUCGAGAUCUGGAGGAAUACCGAUGGCGAAGGCAGCCAUCUGGCCGAAUACUGACGCUGAGGUACGAAAGCAUGGGGAGCAAACAGG
This 430-nucleotide ribosomal RNA is filed under the name bacterium. RNAcentral's name for it is "partial 16S ribosomal RNA". It matches the Rfam family "Bacterial small subunit ribosomal RNA", at positions 355 to 776 of the family's 1533-position model. The record is from RNAcentral.